AUUUUCAAUUUUAAAUUACAAUAAAAACUCCAACUUCCCACACAAUAGUACCUCUAUUGAUGCACUCUUCUGUAACUCCCCACCAAAUGAUUAAUGCAUCAACCCCUCCAUCAUCUAUCUUGCUCUUCCCCAUGCCGAGAUUUUUAAUUUCUCAACCCCCUUUAUUUGAAUUUGAAUUUUUGCUUUUAAUCUACCUCCAUCUGUGCCCAAUUACCAUUGUUAAUUCCUCCACCCUUUUUCAGAUUUCAAGUUAUAAUAUACUCAAAUUUUCAAUGCAUCUCCUCACCUAAAAUUCUCUCACUCUCUCUAUCCUUUCCUGUGCAGGUCAUGCUCUCACAGUGCAUCUCCUCACCUACUCAAAAGCAAAUUCUCUCACUCUCUUUAAUGUCAUAUUUUCAAGUCUUCUUCUUCCUCAUUAUCUCUUUUUCCUUAUGCUUCACUCUCUUCACCCUCCGAGCCCCAAUCGCCCGACUUCUACUUCUCUCCCUCUUUGUCGCGCUCGCCGUCCCUCUCCCACUCUCGCUUGAGAAACCCUCUUCCUCUUCCAACGGAACCCGUCGCCGUGGAAUCCGCAUCUUGGCGAUUUCAAACGCAGCCAAGAGGAGUACUUCAGAUCUGUUGUGGCGUUAAGUUCGAAUCCAGAACCUACUGUUGAUUUCUACAUAGUGGCAAAUGUGAAGCAUCAACAUGAAGUUAAUGUUGGUUGUUGGAAACCUUUCAAUGGAGUCAUUGAAAAGAGGAAUGCUUACUCCAUAGAUCAAUGAAUGGUUUCCUAUAAAUGGAUUGGACCAUUUCUUAUAGAAAUUGAGGCGCUGAUGGCUACACUAGAUGAGGAAGAUAUGUAAAUAGUGAAGCAUGGCGAGUAAACACAGAACAAGCUAAACUCAAACUAGGCACCUCCAGGGUUUAAAGGUUCUGAAAAAUAAAAGAGAAUCUUGGACUAUUGUGGUCAAGGAUAUUCUUCGUCAAGGAGUUGUUUGUGCUCAGGAAAUAAGUACAUGGCUUCAUAUGGAUAUCAUUGAUUCUGCAUUUUUUUUUGUCCUUUUCAAGACUGUUCAGUUUUACAAUGAAUUUUGCUGCUUCCAAUUGGUGCUUCCAAAUAAAGGUGGCUCAGAGUGAGAUUAUAAGGUAGUGGUAAAAGUGAAAACAAGGUAUAAACAUUUGAGAGGCAGUGAAAGCAAGGUAUUACUUAUUAUUAUAUGUGAAAGUAAAGUUGAGAACAUGAAAUAUGGCAGAUGUAAGUUUGUUUAGGUUUGUGUUUGUGUCUUUAGGUUUUUCUCCUAUGGUGAUUUUUUGGAUUGUAUAUCUGUUUGUGAAGCCUAAUUACUUUGUAUUUUUCAGACUGCUACAUUAGCCCAUAUAACAUUGAGUUAUUCUUGAUCA
Long non-coding RNA from Lotus japonicus, 1383 nucleotides. RefSeq lists it as uncharacterized. The transcript is spliced from 8 exons. The record is from RefSeq and is a predicted model, not a curated record. NCBI's taxonomy places the organism in Eukaryota, Viridiplantae, Streptophyta, Magnoliopsida, Fabales, Fabaceae.